RNAcentral lists this unclassified non-coding RNA (211 nucleotides) under Hevea brasiliensis (rubber tree). Lineage: Eukaryota; Viridiplantae; Streptophyta; Magnoliopsida; Malpighiales; Euphorbiaceae. The record is from RNAcentral.
GUGACAGUGAAAGUUCCUGUGAAAUUUACCAUCUAUUUUCUACCUUGUUACUCCCAACAUAUCCACCAUCUUCAGCAACUUGGCCCCGUUUUUCCGAUCACCAUAGUGUAUAUGAUGUAUGCUUCAGGCGAAAUUUUGCCAUAAUUUAUCGAAUCACCAGAGAAACCCUAAUUCACCAUUUCUUUUAAGGCUCAGAUUUCCACAGACUCUA